RNAcentral lists this ribosomal RNA (253 nucleotides) under uncultured bacterium. Its description in RNAcentral is "partial 16S ribosomal RNA". It matches the Rfam family "Bacterial small subunit ribosomal RNA", at positions 524 to 776 of the family's 1533-position model. The record is from RNAcentral.
UACGUAGGGGGCAAGCGUUAUCCGGAUUCACUGGGCGUAAAGGGAGCGCAGGCGGCAUGGCAAGUCUGAUGUGAAAACCCGGGGCCCAACCCCGGGAGUGCAUUGGAAACUGCCAGGCUGGAGUGUCGGAGGGGUAAGCGGAAUUCCUAGUGUAGCGGUGAAAUGCGUAGAUAUUAGGAGGAACACCAGUGGCGAAGGCGGCUUACUGGACGACUACUGGCGCUGAGGCUCGAAAGCGUGGGGAGCAAACAGG